RNAcentral lists this ribosomal RNA (157 nucleotides) under Ochrocarpos multiflorus. RNAcentral describes it as "5.8S ribosomal RNA". It matches the Rfam family "5.8S ribosomal RNA". Rfam says of the family: 5.8S ribosomal RNA (5.8S rRNA) is a component of the large subunit of the eukaryotic ribosome. It is transcribed by RNA polymerase I as part of the 45S precursor that also contains 18S and 28S rRNA. Lineage: Eukaryota; Viridiplantae; Streptophyta; Magnoliopsida; Malpighiales; Clusiaceae. The record is from RNAcentral.
CAAAAUGACUCUCGGCAACGGAUAUCUCGGCUCUUGCAUCAAUGAAGAACGUAGCAAAAUGCGAUACGUGGUGUGAAUUGCAGAAUCCCGUGAACCAUCAAGUUUUUUAACACAAGUUGCGCCCAAAGCCUUUUGGUUGAGGGCACGUCUGCCUGGG